UUGGCAAAGCUGGAAAAAAAAAAGGUCUUUUAGAACAGCUUGUUUAGUAAAGAAGCAAGUGUAGAGUUUUACUUUACAUUUCCUUAACGGACAAGGUUGGGGAAAUCCCUUCCUAUUGUUAGCAUGACAUGAGAUCUUGUGUUUGAAGACUUGCAGAAAGAUAUCUCAUGUGAUGACUAAUCUCACUUGUUUUUUCUAUUUUUCUAUCACCGUAACUGUGAUGUUUGAGGACAGCUGGUGUCCUUAGAGCUGAAGACAUCCUAUGUUUGUUUGUUCCAUAUAAGUCUACAGACUGAGCCAGCAAGGAUGGCAGUGAAGCUAAACUUGGAGCAGAGUCUUAUUCCUGAUGAACUGAGAACAGUUGGACUUUCAAGUUCUGCACUGAAUUGGAAAUGUUACAUCCCCAAGCCCAGAUUUUUCUCUGAUCCAAAAGGGGUGCUCAGAGGAGGGAAGAAAUCUUAAUGAGAUUUAGUGCCUAGUCUGGCUUUGCAGCUGCUUCUGUUUCGGCUUUAUGAGGUGACAAGCCAAACUGUCCAACAAAACAUCACUGAGUUGUCACUUCUGCCCAUGGCAGAUGCCUGAAAAGGUCAGACAAUUGCCUCCAGUUAGCGCAUUGAUUUCUUGUGUUUCAUUGAAGUUACCUACUUUUGUCAUGAAAAUGUUCAUAAUCAGAUGGAGAAGAACAUGAGUCCUUCCUACUGGAGUGUUGGUAGAUGCUGGAGCAUGUCCAGAGAAGGGCAAUGAAGGUGGUGAAGGGUCUGGAGCACAAGACUUAGGAGGAGAGGCUGUAGUAGGCAGCUUAUAACUGAUCAAAAUUAUAAAGGAGG
Long non-coding RNA from Neopelma chrysocephalum (saffron-crested tyrant-manakin), 827 nucleotides. RefSeq lists it as uncharacterized. Lineage: Eukaryota; Metazoa; Chordata; Aves; Passeriformes; Pipridae. The record is from RefSeq and is a predicted model, not a curated record. The transcript has 3 exons.